GUGCUCGCUUCAGCAGUACAUAUACUAAAAUUGGAAUGAUACAGAGAAGAUUAGUAUAACCCCUGUGUACGGAUGACAUGCAAAUUCAUGAAACGUUACAUAUUUUU
Aotus nancymaae (Ma's night monkey) is the source of this 107-nucleotide small nuclear RNA. The record is from Ensembl. NCBI's taxonomy places the organism in Eukaryota, Metazoa, Chordata, Mammalia, Primates, Aotidae.